Spodoptera frugiperda (fall armyworm) is the source of this 2168-nucleotide long non-coding RNA. RefSeq lists it as uncharacterized. The record is from RefSeq and is a predicted model, not a curated record. NCBI's taxonomy places the organism in Eukaryota, Metazoa, Arthropoda, Insecta, Lepidoptera, Noctuidae. The transcript has 6 exons.
UAAUCACACUAUUUCAGUAAACAGCAGCUCAUGUAGUGUAGAUGUCCAGUCAACAAGGAUGUAGCGUAGACUGUCCAGGCGACACACGUACUUAGGUAUCGUCAUGAGCUAAUGUUCACAUGUAAACAGCAGCUCAUGUAGUGUAGAUGUCCAGUCAACAAGGAUGUAGCGUAGACUGUCCAGGCGACACACGUACUUAGGUAUCGUCAUGAGCUAAUGUUCACAUGUAAACAGCAGCUCAUGUAGUGUAGAUGUCCAGUCAAAAAGGAUGUAGCGUAGACUGUCCAGGCGACACACGUACUUAGGUAUCGUCAUGAGCUUAUGUUCACAUGUAAACAGCAGCUCAUGUAGUGUAGAUGUCCAGUCAACAAGGAUGUAGACUAGACUGUCCAGGCGACACACGUACUUGGGUAUCGUCAUGAGCUAAUGUUCACAUGUAAACAGCAGCUCAUGUAGUGUAGAUGUCCAGUCAACAAGGAUGUAGCGUAGACUGUCCAGGCGACACACGUACUUAGGUAUCGUCAUGAGCUAAUGUUCACAUGUAAACAGCAGCUCAUGUAGUGUAGAUGUCCAGUCAACAAGGAUGUAGCGUGGACUGUCCAGGCGACACACGUACUUAGGUAUCGUCAUGAGCUAAUGUUCACAUGUAAACAGCAGCUCAUGUAGUGUAGAUGUCCAGUCAACAAGGAUGUAGCGUGGACUGUCCAGGCGACACACGUACUUAGGUAUCGUCAUGAGCUAAUGUUCACAUGUAAACAGCAGCUCAUGUAGUGUAGAUGUCCAGUCAACAAGGAUGUAGCGUAGACUGUCCAGGCGACACACGUACUUAGGUAUCGUCAUGAGCUAAUGUUCACAUGUAAACAGCAGCUCAUGUAGUGUAGAUGUCCAGUCAACAAGGAUGUAGCGUAGACUGUCCAGGCGACACACGUACUUAGGUAUCGUCAUGAGCUAAUGUUCACAUGUAAACAGCAGCUCAUGUAGUGUAGAUGUCCAGUCAACAAGGAUGUAGCGUAGACUGUCCAGGCGACACACGUACUUAGGUAUCGUCAUGAGCUAAUGUUCACAUGUAAACAGCAGCUCAUGUAGUGUAGAUGUCCAGUCAACAAGGAUGUAGCGUAGACUGUCCAGGCGACACACGUACUUAGGUAUCGUCAUGAGCUAAUGUUCACAUGUAAACAGCAGCUCAUGUAGUGUAGAUGUCCAGUCAACAAGGAUGUAGCGUUGACUGUCCAGGCGACACACGUACUUAGGUAUCGCCAUGAGCUAAUGUUCACAUGUAAACAGCAGCUCAUGUAGUGUAGAUGUCCAGUCAACAAGGAUGUAGCGUGGACUGUCCAGGCGACACACGUACUUAGGUAUCGUCAUGAGCUAAUGUUCACAUGUAAACAGCAGCUCAUGUAGUGUAGAUGUCCAGUCAACAAGGAUGUAGCGUUGACUGUCCAGGCGACACACGUACUUAGGUAUCGCCAUGAGCUAAUGUUCACAUGUAAACAGCAGCUCAUGUAGUGUAGAUGUCCAGUCAACAAGGAUGUAGCGUAGACUGUCCAGGCGACACACGUACUUAGGUAUCGUCAUGAGCUAAUGUUCACAUGUAAACAGCAGCUCAUGUAGUGUAGAUGUCCAGUCAACAAGGAUGUAGCGUGGACUGUCCAGGCGACACACGUACUUAGGUAUCGUCAUGAGCUAAUGUUCACAUGUAAACAGCAGCUCAUAUAGUGUAGAUGUCCAGUCAACAAGGAUGUAGCGUGGACUGUCCAGGCGACACACGUACUUAGGUAUCGUCAUGAGCUAAUGUUCACAUGUAAACAGCAGCUCAUGUAGUGUAGAUGUCCAGUCAACAAGGAUGUAGCGUGGACUGUCCAGGCGACACACGUACUUAGGUAUCGUCAUGAGCUAAUGUUCACAUGUAAACAGCAGCUCAUGUAGUGUAGAUUGUCCGAUGCACUAAAUGCAGUGAGGUAGUCUGUGAUUUCUAAUAAUAAUGGUAUCAAAACAUUAUAAUUUAUGAAGUGCUGAGAGUAUGUACUUAUCUAAAUUGAGCAUUUGGAUGUAGUUUGUAGUAUAUUAAUAGUUGUUUUGUUGAUUCGGAAUAGAAUAGAAUGUGCAUCUCUUACUUUGAUGUUAUUUUCUGAAAUGUUGCACAUUCCUGCUAUGUUCCUCGGCAAUGC